This 461-nucleotide ribosomal RNA is filed under the name uncultured bacterium. Its description in RNAcentral is "bacterial SSU rRNA". It matches the Rfam family "Bacterial small subunit ribosomal RNA", at positions 28 to 524 of the family's 1533-position model. The record is from RNAcentral.
GAUGAACGCUGGCGGCGUGCCUAACACAUGCAAGUCGAACGCUCGCAAGAGAGUGGCGCACGGGUGAGUAACACGUAGCUAAUCUGCCCUCAAGACAAGGAUAACUGUAGGAAACUACUGCUAAUACUUGAUAAGCUUACGGACUGUAGAGGUCUAUAAGAAAGAUUUAUCGCUUGAGGAUGAGGCUGCGCGCCAUCAGCUAGUUGGUAAGGUAAUGGCUUACCAAGGCGACGACGGCUAGGGGACCUGAGAGGGUGACCCCCCACACUGGGACUGAGACACGGCCCAGACUCCUACGGGAGGCAGCAGUGAGGAAUAUUGCUCAAUGGGCGCAAGCCUGAAGCAGCGACGCCGCGUGGAUGAAGAAGGUUUUCGGACUGUAAAAUCCUUUUCUGUGUGACGAGAGUGGACGGUAGCACAGGAAUAAGUCUCGGCUAACUACGUGCCAGCAGCCGCGUAAU